UACGAAGGGUGCAAGCGUUACUCGGAAUUACUGGGCGUAAAGCGUGCGUAGGUGGUUUGUUAAGUCUGAUGUGAAAGCCCUGGGCUCAACCUGGGAAUUGCAUUGGAUACUGGCAGGCUAGAGUGCGGUAGAGGGUAGUGGAAUUCCCGGUGUAGCAGUGAAGUGCGUAGAGAUCGGGAGGAACAUCCGUGGCGAAGGCGACUACCUGGACCAGCACUGACACUGAGGCACGAAAGCGUGGGGAGCAAACAGG
RNAcentral lists this ribosomal RNA (253 nucleotides) under uncultured bacterium. Its description in RNAcentral is "partial 16S ribosomal RNA". It matches the Rfam family "Bacterial small subunit ribosomal RNA", at positions 524 to 776 of the family's 1533-position model. The record is from RNAcentral.